AAUUGGCAAUUGAGAUUGGUGUUUUAUUUUGUUGAUAAAAAUAACACAUCAGAUUGAAGGGCGAGAGACAGUUAUUACAAGCUCUUUUUCACUUAACAAGAUGACCUCCAAAGAACUAUGACGCGUGAAUCAGAGGCCAGCUUAGAGCAUUUUCAUGGUGUCAGUUUGGUUACGGACGUAGGAAAGCAAAAUUGACGUUUGUAAUAUCGAGUUGGUUAUUGUGAAAGAUGUUGCAGUGAUUUAGAGUCUGGAUAAGUGAAGGCAUAGUUUUAGGGAGGCACAUAUGUUUGUCAUUAGGCCUUUGCCAUGACGGGUGCGCUUGCAUGGAAGGUCAUCUCUUAAUAAAAGCAUACUUCUUUGUGUUUGAGGGGAGAUCACACGGGAUGUAUUUUUUGCCCUAGGUUCUCCCCUCUAGAGUGUAUUCUUCUUGUUUUGUCUUUUCUUUUCAUGCUUUCCUUUCUCUUGAACAAUGGAAUAUUGCAUCCUCGAAAGCAGCCUCGACAUUCUCGAUUUUGGCAUGCCAUGAACCAGCGUUGCUUCCUAGUUGUUCUCGGAUGAUGUAGAUACAAAUUACACAUCAGAUUGAAGGGCGAGAAACGGUUAUUAGAAGCUCUUUUUCACUUAACAAUAUGACCUCCAAAGAACUAUGACGCGUGAAUCAGAGGCCAGCUUAGAGCAUUUUCAUGGUGUCAGUUUGGUUAUGGACAUAGGAAAGCAAAAUUGACGUUUGUAAUAUGGAGUUGGUUAUUGUGAAAGAUGUUGCAGUAAUUUAGAGUCUAGACAAGUGAAGGCAUAGUUUUAGGGAGGCACAUAUGUUUGUCAUUAGGCCUUUGCCAUGACGGUUGCACUUGCAUGGCAGGUCAUCUCUUAAUAAAAGCAUACUUCUUUGUGUUUGAGGGGAGAUCACACGGGGUGUAUUUUUUGCCCUAGGUUCUCCCCUCUAGAGUGUAUUCUUCUUGUUUUGUCUUUUCUUUUCAUGCUUUCCUUUCUCUUGAACAAUGGAAUAUUGCAUCCUCGAAAGCAGCCUCGACAUUCUUGAUUUUGGCAUGCCAUGAACCAGCGUUGCUUCCUAGUUGUUCUCGGAUGAUGUAGAUACAAAUUACACAUCAGAUUGAAGGGCGAGAAACGGUUAUUAGAAGCUCCUUUUCACUUAACAAGAUGACCUCCAAAGAACUAUGACGCGUGAAUCAGAGGCCAGCUUAGAGCAUUUUCAUGGUGUCAAUUUGGUUAUGGACAUAGGAAAGCAAAAUUGACGUUUGUAAUAUGGAGUUGGUUAUUGUGAAAGAUGUUGCAGUAAUUUAGAGUCUAGACAAGUGAAGGCAUAAUUUUAGGGAGGCACAUAUGUUUGUCAUUAGGCCUUUGCCAUGACGGGUGCGCUUGCAUGGCAGCCUCGACAUUCUUGAUUUUGGCAUGCCAUGAACCAGCGUUGCUUCCUAGUUGUUCUCGGAUGAUGUAGAUACAAAUUACACAUCAGAUUGAAGGGCGAGAAACGGUUAUUAGAAGCUAUUUUUCACUUAACAAGAUGACCUCCAAAGAACUAUGACGCGUGAAUCAGAGGCCAGCUUAGAGCAUUUUCAUGGUGUCAGUUUGGUUAUGGACAUAGGAAAGCAAAAUUGACGUUUGUAAUAUGGAGUUGGUUAUUGUGAAAGAUGUUGCAGUAAUUUAGAGUCUAGACAAGUGAAGGCAUAGUUUUAGGGAGGCACAUAUGUUUGUAAUUAGGCCUUUGCCAUGACGGGUGCGCUUGCAUGGCAGGUCAUCUCUUAAUAAAAGUAUACUUUUUCGUGUUUGAGGGGAGAUCGCACGGGGUGUUUUUUUGGCCCUAGGUUCUCCCCUCUAGAGUGUGUUCUUGUUGUUUUGUUUUUUUUCUUUUCAUGCUUUCCUUUCUCUUGAACAAUGGAAUAUUGCAUCCUCAAAAGCAACCUCGACAUUCUCGGUUGUACUCUCUAACCCAGCUUAUUUUGGCAUGCCAUGAACCAGCGUUGUUGCUUUCUAGUUGUUCUCGGAGGAUGGAGACCAAAUGUGGUACUUGGGAAGAUAUUUGUUUGUAGAUGAAUUAAAGAGGCUGGUGAGUAGUUGAAUUAGUGUAUUGAGCUCUUUACAGAGUUAAAUUCUUCAUUUCUAAUCAUUUAGAUAUUUGAAUAAAAUAUAUCCUUUAUUCUUUGCUUUCUUUAUAUAAAA
Diospyros lotus (date-plum) is the source of this 2178-nucleotide long non-coding RNA. RefSeq lists it as uncharacterized. The transcript is spliced from 7 exons. The record is from RefSeq and is a predicted model, not a curated record. NCBI's taxonomy places the organism in Eukaryota, Viridiplantae, Streptophyta, Magnoliopsida, Ericales, Ebenaceae.